GGGGAAUAUUGCGCAAUGGGGGAAACCCUGACGCAGCAACGCCGCGUGCGGGAUGAAGGCCUUCGGGUUGUAAUCCGCUUUCAGCAGGGACGAAGGGUUUCUGACGGUACCUGCAGAAGAAGCACCGGCUAACUACGUGACAGCAGCCGCGGUGAUACGUAGGGUGCGAGCGUUGUCCGGAAUUAUUGGGCGUAAAGAGCUUGUAGGCGGUCCGUCACGUCGGAAGUGAAAACUCAGGGCUUAACCCUGGGCCUGCUUUCGAUACGGGCAGACUUGAGGGAUGUAGGGGAGAACGGAAUUCCUAGUGUAGCGGUGAAAUGCGUAGAUAUUAGGAGGAACACCAGUGGCGAAGGCGACUUACUGGACUGUAACUGACGCUGAGGCGCGAAAGCGUGGGGAGCAAACA
RNAcentral lists this ribosomal RNA (406 nucleotides) under uncultured Propionibacteriaceae bacterium. RNAcentral's name for it is "bacterial SSU rRNA". It matches the Rfam family "Bacterial small subunit ribosomal RNA", at positions 356 to 774 of the family's 1533-position model. Lineage: Bacteria; Bacillati; Actinomycetota; Actinomycetes; Propionibacteriales; Propionibacteriaceae. The record is from RNAcentral.